AUGCCAGACUUUAAGCGGGUUGGGCUUGGAAUACCUCUUGGAAUCGAAAUCCGGGAAACAAGGGUCAGUCACUUCAGAUCGUUCUGCUGGUUGCAAAUCCAAAUCCGAAGCAGCUCUGCAGUGCUUCACAGCCAGAGGUGAGCUGUUCCAUGUCCCAGGUUGUCAGAGGAAUCUGCUGCUAAAGCAACACUUAGAGACAAUGAAGCGACCUGGCAGAAACUGAUUGUUACAGCAGCUCCCGGAUCUCCAGACGGAAGGAGACCCGAGGGCCAUUGUGUGGUAGACGAGAUUCACUCAGUUGGAAUGAGUGGAACUGGCCGUAUCAGUUGUCAAGUGAAACCAAACCACAUUUUCUUAACAUUCAAGUGGAAGCAAAUGGAUCCUCUUUCACUUUCAGGUGGGGAAAUGCAACUGAUUUGAGCUUGGAAGGUGAGAGAAACGCAGCAGACAGGACCUCAGAGGAAGACGAUGAAGAGAGUCACCUAUAUCAGCAAGGUUCAGUCCAACACUGCUGCAGACCGUCACUGACCCGCAGGUGAUCAACGCUACCAAUGCUGUGGAUUGUCGAGUACAAAUGAGCAGAUCCAUUCUAGGCCAUUCCUGUCCCCUGGAAGGCGAUUGGUUCUCGAGAUAUGAGACCAUGAACUCUCCACUCAACGCAGCCAGAGCAUUGGCUCUGAGGAGAGGUCAGAGGAGCAUUCGGUAAGUGUAACAAAUGAGCAAACAAUCCGCUCCACACAUUUGCCCACUCGUGUUGUGUCAGAAGGUUUGUUCCAGGGUCUCUCAUAUCUCAGGGUCAGGGAGGAUCCAAGAGCCGUGGCUGACACGCAGGGAUUCACCUUGAUCAGGAGGCGAGGACACUUCUUGUCCCUCCCAGUGCAGUUCAGGGGCUGUGGCUGUACUUUCAGAGGAAGGACGCGCAGCCGGUGUGGAUGCUAUUCAAGCAGCAAUGUCCAAAAGCUUCAUGGUGCACCUGUUAGGCCAAGAGGAUUGGCUGGUCCCAUCUGCUGGGACUCAGUCAGAAGGGGGUUGCCUCGGAGAAGAGGAAAGCCGUGGGGUUUGGGGGCCAGGACUAGCCAGACAGUAUCCGAGGUGCGGACUAGGCCAGGGUACGUUCCCAUAGUGACCAUGGGUCCUUGCUCGCAUGCGCAGGGUGGAACUGAUCGCCACAUUUGGGGCCGGGAAGGAAUUUUCCUCCAGGGCAGAUUGGCCAGAGACU
Non-coding RNA from Pelodiscus sinensis (Chinese soft-shelled turtle), 1219 nucleotides. The record is from RefSeq and is a predicted model, not a curated record. NCBI's taxonomy places the organism in Eukaryota, Metazoa, Chordata, Testudines, Trionychidae.